This is an RNA transcript of Zingiber officinale, 1302 nucleotides long. It is a transcript of the gene named kinesin-like protein KIN-10C, with no coding region annotated. Lineage: Eukaryota; Viridiplantae; Streptophyta; Magnoliopsida; Zingiberales; Zingiberaceae. The record is from RefSeq and is a predicted model, not a curated record. The transcript has 8 exons.
UUUAGUUUUAGGUUUAGGUUUUUUGCAACAAACAUCUCCACGGCGACAGAGGCAAGUCGAGCGACGAGAUCUCCACGGGCCACGGCUGACGAGUCUCGAAUCUCAGCUACUUCUUCAGUUCUUCUCUCUAUCUAGCCUCUUGAGAUCGCCUCUCUUGCCGCGUCCGUCAACGCAAGCACGAUCGAAUUGCGCGGCCCUUACUGUUCGCGCGAGUCGGCGUGACCAACUCGUAUGCCCCGCCCCCUGCGGCUAGCGGCUUGCUCCUACCCUGCCAUCGUGCCGCGCAAAGCUUUGGUUGUGACUCCUACUGCGUGCGCCGCCAUUAGAGGCUCCUGCUUUUCCACGAUCAUGACGCAUCCACUGCCGUGGCCAAAGCAUUGCAAGUCAGGUUUAAAAUUGUGAACGGUGUGAUCUUAGUUGGGCAUCGAGGCUUGCUUACGUUGGAUUUUAAUCUCAAAAAAUGUGACAGAUUUUCUACGAAGUAUUUCUCAAACAUUAAGGGAUUCAAUUAAUGGGGGACAACCAUCGAAUACCUCCUGCACAAUUACAGGUCGCGUGUUAGCUGACUCGAUUAAUAAUUAUUUACAUUUGUACUUUUAUUUUGCGGACACCUAAUUUUUUUUUUUUUUGUAUAGGAGUUAAUGGAGGAGGAAUUUCUUGAAUUUUUCAAUGGUGCUACCAAGACGGAACUGAAGAAAAUAAAGGCCAUCGGAAAAAAUGCAACGUACAUUCUGGAGCUUCGGGAAGACACGCCAAACCCUUUUCAAACCAUGAAUGACGUCAAAGAAUUGGGUUUCUCUACACAACAGAUGAAUUCGAUGAUGACUCAAAUUCUCCGUUUCCGUAAUUUCUGGGAUUUUUAGUGUUGAAGUGGCUGCUAUCUCCUCAAAAUCUCUGAUCAAACCAUGGAUGGAAAUGAUAGCGAUGAUUUACAUUAUAAAUAAGUUAGGAUAUAAUGUUUGUAAUAGAUUCUGGUUUAAAUCAAUUGCUUCUAGCAGGGAACAGUUGAAGCCAUCUACGGAGUAGCCUCUAGGUGCCUUUCCUUAUCAGCCGGAUCCUUAACUAGCGAUCGAGAUGAGGAAGAACCCGAUUCCCCCCGGUUCUCCUGCUCCAACUUUUGGAUCCACCUCUCGUACAGUUCAGGUUGAAUAGCACUUGCGCUCUUCUUUUUGCUUGGCAUACUUCUGAAAUAGAAGGAUAAUUUUUUUACUCUUUAUCAAAAUUUAACUGUACUCAAUCCUAUAAAUUUAUCAUAUGACAACUACCUGCCUAUGCCAUGGGGUAGCUCAAUUCCUUUUGUAA